GAUGAACGCUGGCGGCGUGCCUAAUACAUGCAAGUCGAGCGAACGGACGAGAAGCUUGCUUCUCUGAUGUUAGCGGCGGAAGGGUGAGUAACAUGUGGAUAACCUACCUAUAAGACUGGGAUAAAUUCGGCAAACCGGAGCUAAUCCCGGAUAAUAUCUUGAACCGCAUGGUUGAAAAGUGAAAGACGGUCUUGCUGUCACGUAUAGAUGGAUCCGCGCUGCAUUAGCUAGUUGGUAAGGUAACGGCUUACCAAGGCAACGAUGCAUAGCCGACCUGAGAGGGGGAUCGGCCACACUGGAACUGAGACACGGUCCAGACUCCUACGGGAGGCAGCAGUAGGGAAUCUUCCGCAAUGGGCGAAAGCCUGACGGAGCAACGCCGCGUGGGUGAUGAAGGCCUUCGGAUCGUAAAACUCUGUUAUUAGGGAAGAACAUAUGUGUAAGUAACUGUGCACAUCUUGACGGUACCUAAUCAGAAAGCCACGGCUAACUACGUG
RNAcentral lists this ribosomal RNA (497 nucleotides) under uncultured bacterium. RNAcentral's name for it is "partial 16S ribosomal RNA". It matches the Rfam family "Bacterial small subunit ribosomal RNA", at positions 28 to 507 of the family's 1533-position model. The record is from RNAcentral.